Long non-coding RNA from Pundamilia nyererei, 200 nucleotides. RefSeq lists it as uncharacterized. The record is from RefSeq and is a predicted model, not a curated record. Lineage: Eukaryota; Metazoa; Chordata; Actinopteri; Cichliformes; Cichlidae. The transcript is spliced from 3 exons.
GGUUUACGUCCCAAAAGACUCACACAGUCUGAAACAAUCAACCAGGAAGAAAAUCAACAACGUGUGUACACAGCUCUUUCCCACGGUGAUCGUUGUGUUUAUGAGACAAUGAGGCCUCUGAAGAUGCUGGGCCAAGUAAAGUAUGACAAUGAUGAGCCAUGAAAGUAGCGGAAUGACUCUGGGAUUUCACGUAAUUCAAU